This is a long non-coding RNA of Jaculus jaculus (lesser Egyptian jerboa), 553 nucleotides long. RefSeq lists it as uncharacterized. The record is from RefSeq and is a predicted model, not a curated record. NCBI's taxonomy places the organism in Eukaryota, Metazoa, Chordata, Mammalia, Rodentia, Dipodidae. The transcript has 2 exons.
GGGAGCAGUUUCCUGGACCUAGGCAGAGGCUCGACUCCACCACACUGCCCCUAUUCUCAUCUGUGAAAGGGAAACCAACAGCAACAGAGCCCCACGCUGGAGUCCCUAUGUCUUGGCAGUACUGGGCCUCUCUUCCCACUCUGAGCUAGUCCAUUUGACUUGCCUGUACACAGGAGGAACGACCAUCGUGACAAACUGCUAUCUCAACCACAAGUGAGAUUUCUGUUGGGAGUAGCUCCAUAAAGGGAAGCUGUUGUAUCCUAAGCACCCGAGCAUGACGCUGCCUGUUCCGCUCUGCUUCGUUGCAAGGCCCCACCACGGCACAACUGCGCUGAGCCAGAGAGUCGGUCAAGAAAGAUGGGUGGUGACUUCCAGAGCAGUUCAAAGCAGCCUGGAGCCAGGGUAGAGUUCAGUGCCAGCGCACUCACCUCACAUAUGCAGGCCCUGGAUUCAACACCCCCCCCCCCGAAAGUGUGGGAACACUUGAAAAACCACAACAGAAAGCAGAAUGUGUCUUACAGGAUCAUAGAUUCAUAAAAUCUGUCUUUCAUAA